This 77-nucleotide transfer RNA is filed under the name bacterium. RNAcentral's name for it is "tRNA-Val". It matches the Rfam family "tRNA". Rfam says of the family: Transfer RNA (tRNA) molecules are approximately 80 nucleotides in length. Their secondary structure includes four short double-helical elements and three loops (D, anti-codon, and T loops). Further hydrogen bonds mediate the characteristic L-shaped molecular structure. tRNAs have two regions of fundamental functional importance: the anti-codon, which is responsible for specific mRNA codon recognition, and the 3' end, to which the tRNAs corresponding amino acid is attached (by aminoacyl-tRNA synthetases). tRNAs cope with the degeneracy of the genetic code in two manners: having more than one tRNA (with a specific anti-codon) for a particular amino acid; and 'wobble' base-pairing, i.e. permitting non-standard base-pairing at the 3rd anti-codon position. The record is from RNAcentral.
GGGCAAUUAGCUCAGCUGGUUAGAGCGCACGAUUCACAUUCGUGAGGUCACAGGUUCGAGCCCUGUAUUGCCCACCA